Notothenia coriiceps (black rockcod) is the source of this 4958-nucleotide long non-coding RNA. RefSeq lists it as uncharacterized. Lineage: Eukaryota; Metazoa; Chordata; Actinopteri; Perciformes; Nototheniidae. The record is from RefSeq and is a predicted model, not a curated record. The transcript has 3 exons.
CAGUCAUGGUUACAAUUGGUACACAGAUAUAUUAAUUAGUCUCCUGAAAAGCAUAUGCAUAUGCCCUAGCCUUUUUCCACAGUGUCAUAAACGAUCAAUUUCUUCCAUUUACUCUCAAAAAUAUUGACUCUCAUUCUAAGUUGGUAAGUAAUUUGUUCCAUUAUAUAUACCUCUCUUAUAAUACCCAUCCACUGGUCUUUUGUGGGGGGCUCAGCCUUACACCAAUUUCUGGUUAUUGCUUUCUUCCUUGUUAUUAACAGUAUCUUAGUUAUAUAUCUAUCAGUAAUUAGGAGACUUUUUUUGAGACACAACUCGAGGCCUACAUUUGUCAAAUCUUUCAUUACCUAUUGGGAAACAAUUAUAUUAUUUUCUCAAUUAGCGCACGCCUAUAGACAUUUUUUAAAUGCAAGAUUGUGUGCAUAUAUGUUUUCAAAAUUAUCCAUGUAUAUGAGUGAAAACAGGACCUUAGGUGUCCAUAGUUACCACAGUGUAAAUAGAAAAGAUUUGUUCUGUUAUUUUUAUUUUUUCAUUAUUUGAUGUUAGUUAAAUCAGUUCAUGAAGUAAAUGCUGGCAUAAAAACAUGCAUAUCCUGUAAAACUGUAGAGUAAGUAGUCAAUUCAUAGAUUACUACCUGCUGUUCUCUCUAAUCUUUCUCCAAUACACUGCCUCCCUAAAUCAAAUCAUCCAUCAGUGACCCCUCGGCCCGUUUGAAUUUCUUAACAGCUGCUUUCUGUUUGUUGUCUGUUUUGAUCAGAACUCAGAUCUUUGACUUAAGUCAAACUAACAAUACUAUAUUGUAAAUAUACUCUGUAGCAUUAAGAGUCCUCCUUUCAGAAUCAGAAUACCUUUAAUCGUCCCACAGAGGGCAAAUGUAUACUGUAACAGCAAAAGUGAAGAAAAUAAAACACUAUUUGAAAGGGCAUGCCCAUAAUGUUUACACUUACCAAAAAAAAGUAUUACAUUUACAAGUGACCUCAUAAGUUUGCAAUUUACAUAUGGCACAGCAGUGGUGUCGUAGUCUAUGUUUGUUUUUACAUCAUUGCACAUAGUCUCUAUUGUUGUGUGUGUGUGGGGGUCUACCAGGGGCCACGGUGGUUUUAAAAUCUUACGUGUGUGUGUGUGUGUGUGUGUGUGUGUGGUGUGUGUGUGUGUGUGUGUGUGUGUGUGUGUGUGUGUGUUAUAACAACUAACUCCAAUGAAUGAGUCCUAACAUCCUCUGCUCUCUCUCCAUGUGAAGCACCACGCUCAGCUACUGCCACCGCAGGAGGUGGUGGAGACCAGCAAUACGGCUCCCUCCUACGCUGUGAGGCCUCCUCCUCCUCCUCUAAAACCCAAACCUUCUGCUGCAUCUCAGCCUCUGGUGCCUCAAAGACCCGCCCCAGCUCCACCUGUGUAACCAAUCAAGGGGCCCUGCCAACCACACCUAGAUGAACCCCCUCUUGUACUCAAAGCUGGUCACUGAGCAGCCAGGGAAAUAAUCUGGAGCCAAGUUUGAGGACAGCCGGCUCCAGACAACAAACUGAACCUGAAACUGGAACAUACCAGAAUGGAACUGAUGCAGCCACUGUUCUCAACGGACUGUCCUUCCUUAUUUCUUUCUCUCCCUUUCCUUAUUUCUUGAAGUCUGGAGACAAAACUCAGCCAAUCAGGUGACACAUUGUCUGUCACCAAACCAGCCAAUCAUAUCCCAAGAACAGCUACCUGUGAUAUCAACAAAUCAAUUACUAGAAAUUCUUAUUAUUACCCAAUAUAAACUGUAUUAAUCCCCAUCCAUAUUGUGUAUUCCUGCUGUAGAGUGCUGUAGAAAUGAGUCCUACAUUUGUGAAAUGAGUUUUUGAACUUCCGCUUCUCUCGUCUAGGUUUUUUGAAAUGGUUUUGGUUAGCUGCCUGAGAUAAGGUCUUUGGUUAACACAAGUCAGAACAUACCCCUCCAUUCACACCAAGCACUGUGCUGCUUUUAAGUUAGUGGUGGUGUUCUGAAGUCAUGCAAUCAUUGUGUGCUUAGUUUAUAGCCUUUUUUACUUCUUUUAAUUGCAUUACCAUAACAAAAAAUGUUUUAAGAUCAAAUAUGCUAUAGAACUUAAUUUCUGCAAAACAUCAUAAUCAUAGUGAAGUUGAAAAAACCCAAUUACCAUUUUGUCAAAAGUAAGCAGCAAACUUGGAUUGGCCUACAAUAAUAGUUCCUUCUAUAAAACAAGAUCUGCAUACAGUGCCCCUCAGACUUGCUUCCAAUUUGUCCUAAUGGCCACUCAAUAAUGCAGCCAGCUGUCUGUAAAACUGUGGACAGGACACCUCGAAUGGAUGUUUUUUAUAUAAAAAAUUUGUGUAAAACUUAUAAAAAAUACAUUGUAUUGUAAUUACUAGCAGUCAAUGGCUCCUCUGCCAGCAGCACGGGGCCUACGCUAGCAGGCUUAGAGGUUAGGAGCAAGUGCUAAGUAGCAACAAUGUUUCCCCAAUUUCAUGUUACUUGCUAGCAAUAUAAAAGAUUUAUGGUAUAUUUAGCAAGCCCGUUUAAUAACUAAUGUUAAGUAGCUACCAGUACUAGCAAGCUCUCACACUCUGGAGCUAAUGCUACCGGUAGCUUCCCUGGAUUUAGUCCUUAUUAUCGAACAUAUUGCCAGAUUUACCAUCCAAAGGAAUAUUUAAACAAUGGGUCCUUGAUUUCAGACAGGAGCAUGUUCUCUUUUUAAAGCGACAAUUUUGCAGCUGUCUAGCUCGUAGCUAGCUUAUUAACAUUAUCCCCAUAAUUAUAUAUUUACUUUCUGCCAUUUCAACAAGUGCACAAAUGCUGUGUGAAACGUAACCACUAUAAAGCAACCUCAGUGGGGGAGGAAACCGCUCAUAUUUUUAUGUUUUUUAUUUGUUUAAUUGUUUCUUUUAAUUGAACAAUUGAUUCCACUUACUGAGACAUGCUUCACUCUGAUUGGCUGGUUUAAAGAUGCAGAGCUCACUGGAAUUUGAGCUUACUCUCCUUUCUUUCUGUUUUCUGUCUUUGAAUGGAAGCACUGAUUCUUGCACUGCAUUGAGUCUGAUUGCACUUCCUGCUCAAACACUGUCAUAGGAAUUUUACGCCCCCCUGCUGCUCUGUGUGGAUGCACUUGGUCUCCACCACCUUGCCUGGCACUCUGUCUCUCCAGAAUUGUAAAAAUCCCAUUAUGCAACAUCUUCUGGGGGCAGAGCUCGUCCGGGUUUGACUUCCUCUGAUGUGGAUCUGGGUCUGUGUAGUACUUGGAUAUCUGUGACUUUCUGCAGGUAAUGUACGCUCGCUCACCAAGUUUAGUUGAAUCAUAAAGCAAAUCUCCUCAUGAAGACCUCAACACUGUUGAAUCUGAUAUCUGUGAUGUUCUUUAUCUACACUAUAGAGGAUUUGUUUACUUGAAUAGAUUCAAAGCGAAACUGACCCAUGCAUCUAGUCUUCCAGCAGCACACACAACAUCUAGGUGUGUUAUAGAGGCAUUCAUUGUGAAUUAGCUCAACAACGUAAACACACAUUAUGCUAUUAGAUGCCAACAGCGAUAAAACAUACUUGUGUCUCAUGGAGGCGCUGUAUUAGUAUAAAAUUAUAGGUUUACUCAAUAGUCUUAGAACACACUUUGACUUUCUAUACUCACUUCAACAAUAAACCAUAGUAAGGACUCAUGGUAAGAUAUAGUUCAUGCAAUAAGUCAUUGUUGGUGUUAAGUAAAGGCAAGUACAAAAAGAAUGCAUGCUUCCUCAUAAUGUGUCUUUGUUAGUAGUAAAGCAUUUCCAUUUCAAAGAAUAGAUGCUGCAUUAAGAUGACCCUUUAUUAAUCCCCAGGGGGAAUUCACUUUUCCACUCUGUUAUUGUAUACACACACAUUUGAAAUACACACAUGCAUAGCACCUAUAGAGAUUAGGUCUGAAUACAGAUGCACAAAGACUGUACUGUUUGAUCUAAUCAGGACUUGAACCGGCAUUCCUUCAGCUCCUAAACCAAGUCCAUACACACUGAGAUACUGCCGCCCAGAAAUUGGUGUUGUCGGCAGGAUUCAAACUUGCAAAGGGACACCCCAAUGGAUUUCUAGUGCAUCGCUUUCACCACUCGUCCACAGCAACACUAUUAGUGACACCAAAAUGCAUACAAUCAAAAGGAAACGUGUCUGCGGUUGGAAAGGAAACGUGUCUGCGGUUGGAAUGCAAUCUAACAAUAAUGUCUGGUAUUAAUUCAUAAAGGCAUGAGCAUCACAGAUGAAAGAUUACAGUGUUGAGGUGUGUAAAGGUGGAACCGAUCUCACAGCUCACCACUGAAACACCUGUGAUAAAGUCCUGAAAGAGUCCUGAAAGAGUCCAGAUGUCCUGUCCCCGCCGUCUUUAACACCAACGUCACCUGAAUGUGAGAAACAGAACGGAACACAGUCUGACUCCUGACUGCAGACUGAACAUUUAAAAACAUUCAGGACCUUUGAGUUUGUCUGGUUGUGUGAACGCUGCGCGGCCUGCAUCACAGCCACUCAACGCCGGAGGGUUCAUUCCUUUCAUUCAAACCAGGGAUUGAUACACCAACAGGUUACCAAAUGUCUGACUGGCUAACACUUUUAGCCAGCAAAUGAACCUAGAUGCACUGUGUGAGGAGAACAUCACGUUAAUAUCCGCUUUAGUAUACUUUAGUUUGCUGUCGUGUGUUUUUUUGCACAGAAAUUGUUGUGAACAAGAGUAAAAGUAUAGGGCUAAUACUGUGCCAUUUCAAAGUGUUCAUGCCAAACAAUAAAUAAAUAUAUAUGAUCUAGGGCUGCCACUAAAGAUCAUUUUAAUUAUCGUUUGAUCUGAAGAUAAUUUUUAUUGAUAAAUCGAUUCAUUGUUUGGUGUGUUAUAUACCCGAAAUACUGAAAAAUAUUCAUUACAGUUUCUUUAAGUCCAAGAACUCUUUUAAUGUCUUUUUGUGAGUCCAAACCCCACACAUUUUCAGUUUUAUAUGUAAUAAAACCAAGAAAAGCCAUA